GACGUAGGAUGCGAGCGUUGUCCGGAUUUAUUGGGCGUAAAGGGUUCGUAGGCGGUUUGUUAAGUCUGGUGUUAAAGAUCGGGGCCCAACCCUGGGAGUGCACUGGAUACUGGCAGACUGGAGUGCGGUAGAGGUUAGUGGAAUUCCUGGUGUAGCGGUGAAAUGCGUAGAUAUCAGGAAGAACACCAGUGGCGUAGGCGACUAACUGGGCCGUAACUGACGCUGAUGAACGAAAGCCAGGGGAG
Molecule: ribosomal RNA, 245 nt
Filed under: uncultured bacterium
Lineage: Bacteria
Description: partial 16S ribosomal RNA
Rfam family: Bacterial small subunit ribosomal RNA
Source: RNAcentral